CGAUAUCUACGAAUUUCACCUCUACACCGGGAAUUCCGCGACCCUCUUCCAUACUCAAGCCUCGCAGUUUCGGAUGCACGUCCAUGGUUGAGCCACGGGAUUUCACAUCCGACUUGCGAAGCCGCCUACGUGCGCUUUACGCCCAAUGAUUCCGAGCAACGUUUGCACCCUUCGUAUUACCGCGGCUGCUGGCACGAAGUUAGCCGGUGCUUGCUAAGGAGGUACCGUCAUGCCGCUGGAUAUUAGCCAGCGGCGGUUCGUCUCUCCCCACAGAGCUUUACGACCCGAAGGCCUUCAUCACUCACGCGGCGUGGCUGGAUCAGGCUUGCGCCCAUUGUCCAAUAUUCCCCACUGCUGCCUCCCGUAGGAGUCUGGGCCGUGUCUCAGUCCCAGUGUGGCUGAUCAUCCUCUCAGACCAGCUACGCGUCUUAGCCUUGGUGGGCCAUUACCCCACCAACUAGCUGAUGCGACGUAGGCCCCUCUUCCAGCGCCAGGUUGCCCCGGCUUUCCUGUCCAGGACCAGAGUCCCAGACAACGUAUGCGGUAUUAGCGGUCCUUUCGGACCGUUGUCCCCCACUGAAAGGCAGGUUACCUACGUAUUUCUCACCCGUCCGCCGCUUUACUCAGGACCGAAGUCCCUUUCUCGCUCGACUUGCAUGUGUUAGGCCCGCCGCUAACGUUCGCUCUGAGCCAGGAUCAAACUCU
This 705-nucleotide ribosomal RNA is filed under the name uncultured bacterium. Its description in RNAcentral is "partial 16S ribosomal RNA". The record is from RNAcentral.